Non-coding RNA from Rattus norvegicus (Norway rat), 5724 nucleotides. The record is from RefSeq and is a predicted model, not a curated record. Lineage: Eukaryota; Metazoa; Chordata; Mammalia; Rodentia; Muridae.
AGAAAACUAAGGAGUGUGUAACCAGUUAGAGCCCAGGGACCAUCCUCAGAGGCUGACUCAGAGCUGAGGCAUCUGAAUGGUUUUUUUUUUUUUUAAUUAUUAGAUAAGGUAUAUGUUUGUGGUAUAUGAGAGCGUGGUAUGAGUCUGGCAGCCAAAGAAUCCAAUGUCCUGCUCUGUCACUUCACCUUGACCCUCUUGAUACAGGGUCUCUCACUGAACCAGGAGCUAGGAUAGCGGCCAGCAAGAUCAGGGAUCCUCCAUCCCAAUACUCCGUAGCCGCAGAGGUCUGGGCGCAUGACCACACCGUAAGAGGGCGUUCCCAGACGUGAGCAGCCCGUGCUUCCACCUAGCUGCUCCUACCUAGCAAGCCCUCACAUCUGUGUCCUAAAGAAGCUUGGGGCGGUGGCAACGCAGGCGUCCGGACAACAACCAGCCAAGAAAACACUGCCCUGACAAACCCUUCUCUGUUGCUCUCUGCAGCAUCCGGGGCUCCCGAACCCCUCCAAUCCCUUCUCAAGCCCUCGCCUGACGUGUGACCUGUUGUCGCACGUGUGGAAUCUUUGCUUUUAUUUUCUUGGAACCUUAGUCAUGAUACGGCCUUGUUAGUCUUCGGUGAUUAACUUCUGAAUCAAAACCAUGUCUUUUGCUCCUCUGAGGUAGAUUGUGUAAAAGCUUCGUGAACUGUGUGUCUCUGGGACUCCUGAGGCGAAGCAUUUCCCGUCACUCCCAGGCCCCACAUUGAAUCUUCCUGUACUCCUGAUUUUGUGGAGAAGCAGUGGCCACUUACUUCGGAGAGCACAGCACCCAUAUGUUUCUAACUAGGCUACACUCAGCAGCCAGGCGUCCAGAGUCCACAGGUGCGCAGCCCUGGUUCGAGGCCCCUCCUCCCCAGAACACACAAACGGUAUGGAAACUUGCUUUUUGUUUAAGUUCAUCAACUUAUACUGGCUUCUCUUUCAGCUUCUGUGCUCCCAACCCUCAUCCACGUUCCUUCCUGCUUUGGGCUGUUUGGGACUUUCAGCUCUGCUCUAAAAACCGCUGAGCAAUACUUCAUGAGAGGAGCCUGAAAAGGGACAACGACUGUUCCCAGGACUCCAUCUGGCAGUUUCCUUUCUGGGCUGAGUCAGAGUCCUAAAGAUGUUAGAAGAGAGGUCAUCAGUGCUGUGUUUUAUAAAAAUAAAGAGAGAAGGAAUACGUCUGGUGGAGGUGCGGUAAGGUGUGUGGGAAGGGGGUGCCUCCACGGGCCCAUGCUGAGGCAUCCCUUCCCCAUGAAGAACAGACAUGGAGAGGGGAGCUGAGAGUGUAGUAGAGACAGAGAAAGGCAGAGAAAGAGAGUAGAGAAACAGAAGUCGGCCAUGAGCACGUGGCAGGGGGUGGGGGUGGGGGUGAGCAUAGAGGGGGUAAGUGAGGAGAGAUUGGGGUAAGGGGUGAGAGGACAGAGCUAGAGCAAGAGGGCAAGAGAGCAAGAGGAGGAGCGAGCCGCCCCUUUUAUGGUGAGUCAGCAACACCUGACUGUUGCCAGGUAACCGUGGGGCGGAGCUUAGACAGAAUGCUAACAGAAUGCUAAGGAGAGCUCCAUCUUGGUCAGCUGCUGGCCACAGUAAAUCCUUAAAUGAAUCUCUACGGGGUGUGUGUGUGGAGGGGGGAGGAGGAAGGAAGAAGGAAGGGAGAUUAAAAGCUAGAACUUUAGGGCAUUUACUAGCUGAGGCAUUUAUUUUCUUGCUGUACAUGGGUUAUUGAGGUUUAUCUCCUAAGAGUAAACUCCCGUCUAAUGUUUCCACUUGACUCACCCUCCUCUGCUCACUGGAAACCUCCCCUCGCGACUUUAGAUUUCGCUCAGUUAUUGAUGUGCAAACCAAAAAGCAAAACUGGGGUCUUAUUUUCAGGGAGGGAAGAGGUAGGAUUUGAACUAUGUACUUGAGCUUGAGUGCUUGCCCUUCUGCUGAGUUGUAUUCCCAGUCCCCACUCCAACAAGUUUCCCAGAAGCCAACCACUAAAGAACAGGAAUGGACUCCACCACCACCACCACCAUCAUCAUCAUCAUCAUCAUCAACAACAACAACAACAACAACACACACACACACACACACACACACACACACACACAUAUAUAUAUAUAUAUACAUAUAUAUAUAUAUAUAUAUAUAUAAAAUCACAUACACACACAUAUUUAACUAUGAGAAGCUUUAAACACCAGGUCCAUAAGAGUCUCUUGGAACCAACUGCAAGCAGAGGCUUACUGCCCUGAGCUCCUAGGGCUGCUUGGAGCCAGUGAGUAGCCACAGGCAGUCAUGAACCCAGGCCUCUCCCUCCACAGAGGAUCUCUGUGGGUUUCAAGUCAUGCACACCUAUGAAUGGGGCGAAUGCUUUGCCUCUCAAACCAUGUAAGUCACCUGUGUCUCAAAAGCAGACAUCUGCCUCAGGGUUCUGUGAAGCCAGAAGGAAAGAGGUUACUUUUUCUUUUGGAGACUUUUUCUUUCGUUUAGGGUUUCCAGCCUGGCCUUCAACUGCCUAUGUAGCCAAGGAUGUCCCAAUUCUGCUUCCACUUCCUGGACUUCCGGGAUUUCAGAUUUAACCCACCAUAACUGUUUUAUGUGGUGCUGGUGAUAAAAGCCAGGGCUUUAGGCUCAGUAUGUGAGCCCUCCACCAACUUAGAUCCACCCCCAGUGCAGGAAGACGAAUUCUAAACUGAAGUUGGAGGAGGAUAGCCCCUAAAAGUUCAGUUUGGGGAUUCAAGACCUGGGGUUUUUCUAGCUAUAUGAGAUAACCUGAGAAGGUUGUGUAGCACCAGAAAUUAUGAAAGGAGCAGGGAUUUUGGAGACAGCCCAAAGUGGAGAUUUCAAUUUGCUUUUAUCGUCUGUGUCUUGAUUUGGGAAAAGUAUCAAGGCUUUCUACAUUUGAGAACCUGAUUUUUGGUUUUUGGAGACAGGGUUACUCCAUGAAGCCUUCGCUUUGUUGGAACUCAUCCUAUAGCCAAGGCUGGUCUGGAACUCACAGACAUCCACCUGCCUCUGCCUCCUGAGUGCUGGGGUUAAAGGCAUGCUCCACUAAGUCUAGUUCAGAAUCUUUAUUCAAAUGACCGGGAUAACAACCUCUGUCUUACAUGGCUGUUGUGUGAGCUGUUGUCACAUGACACAAGGACCUCAUCCCUCCUAGGUAGAAAUGCUGUAAGUAUAGUACAGUGUGUGUGUGUGUGUGUGUGUGUGUGUGUGUGUGUGUGUAAUUGCUUUCAAAUCUCUACUAAUCUGUCUUCCUUUUACCUGCCCCCAAACUUUUAAUCCAAGCAAGGCUUCUCCAGGAUGUGUCGCAUGCCUCUGGAAAUUAUGUUGAUGUGCCAAAGAGAGAUAAUUGGGUGAACUUUGCUACCACCACAGAAUUUCCUUAACAAACAUUUGAGGAUGCCAGCAGGGUCUGGGGGCACUGAUUCCAGGCAAUGACCAUAAUUUGCACCCGAUUUAAAGUAUCUCAUCAUCGGAGAGACUUCCUUACAGUCUUGGUCUGGGUCCAGUUAAAAUCAGAUUUGUCUGCCUUAAAUGUACUCAGAAUACUUGGGCUGACCAUCACGAGAGAGUAUCACGCCACGGCCUGGGACCAGAUCGUCUAGAACCUGAAGCCCGAUUUCCGCUGAAUAACGCAUGUUGCUUUUCAUUGUUGUAAAAUAAAAUCACGUCGAAGCAUCGUAAGUUGGAGGCCUAUACUUUGAAUUGAAUGACAUUGGAUGGACUCAUAAGUAAGUCUCCCUCCUAACUUCUGCCCCUCUCUUCUCUCCCCCUUCUCUCUCCUGAAGCAGGAUAAGGAAACUAGAGGCCCACACAUUUUCAUAAACUCAACCAUGAAGUAUAGAAGCAUUAUUUUAGCUUUGCUUAGAGUUUCUUAGCGAGGUUGACUAAGAAAUUCCUCAACUCAUCAAGUUCAUGAGACCCUGUCGUGCUGACCCUAUUCCUAAGGAGAAGGGCGCUACAUGAGGACCCAAGAGCCACCAGACAGGCCUUACUGAGCCUCCGUGGGUCUCUAACUGUACCAGGAGCGCCUCUGGAGUUCCCUUUGCUGUCCUGAAGGAAGGGCGGCCCAGUCUUCGCCAUCCCUGACUCCAUUCUGGACUCUAAAUUCAAGUCCAUGCUGGCCCCAUGACCUUGAAUAAAUUCUCUAACCACGUUAGCAAAUCUUGUUUCAUGGAUCCCCACUCCUGUGGGGGAACCUGGAGGGAGGCCAUGUGCAAAGUGCUAAAGCCACAAGGCCCACAGACAAUUUAUCUUUAUUUCACAGAUAAGAAACUGAAAUUGGCAGAAAUUACCUGACAUGUGCAAAAACCGUCUGCUUACCAGACAGAGACCAGGUCAGGAAACUGGCUCUGGGUUCUCUCCCCAGAACCAUGUAAACUGGUGUGCGGCACAAACCUGAAAAUCCAGCUAGGGUCAUUCUCUAUUGCAAGACGGAGGCCAGCCCCAAAUAGAUUUUGUCUCGAAAGAAAAAACCAAGAGUGCUGAGGCUAAAGUCUCUCCAGCAGCACAUUCUACACAGAUCACGCCAGUUCAGGGAGCCUGGAUUUCCCAGCCCUCAGAGGAAAGUAAGGUCCUUCACGCCGACAGAAAGCCACUGGGUAUCGCUGUGAUGUUACCACCGUCUCCUACGCACCCUCUAAGUUCUCUCCAUCUGAGCUCACUGAUGGAUCAGCCUUGCUGAUGUCAUCAGAGUAAUCAUUUACUGCUCUACCGUUCGAUCGGACACAACCAUAUGCAUGAUAUGUAACAUAUACUACGUAUACUACAUCUUUAUUCUACCCUCCGAUGUUUCCCAAUUUGAAAAAAAGAUACUCGGAUUCACUAUCGUGCCUGAGUUUACUUAAACCACUUGGACAGACAGAGGAUUUUUUUUUUUAUCAUGGGGGUGUGUGUUAUCCUAUUUGCUAUGUUUCUAAAAAUCCUUGAAGAUCAAUGUUACCCACUAAUCUAUAUAAAAUUUUGAUGCUAAAUACUUUUCUUCCUGCUAUCAGGAGCAAGACAAGAACAUUGCUUUCUAUAAAUGUGUCAGGAUGGAGAGGAAGCGGUAACACUGUGCUCCUCCAUAGAUCAUGCCCUAUUGCACGGAGGAAAUCUCAAAGAAGCCAUCAGCCUACCUACUCAGGUUAACAAGUCAGUUGCUGGGCCCCAGGGAAAAAAAAACACCCAGUCCUCAGCACUGAAAAAGGAAAAGGGAGAGAGAGGGAAGAAGAAGGGAAAGCAGUCAUACAAAAACAUUAUUUUCUUCUAUAUUUUAACAACAAGGAUCCAAAGACAAGAGUCAAUAGAACAGUAGCAGCAAGAAAGCUACUGUUAAAAGUGGCAGCCGUUAAACACUGCACAACACUGAUGCAAAGAAUGAAAGACAAUCUAAAGGCAAAGAUGACAUUCUGCGUCUAAGAUACUCGCUCCAUAUCUGUGAACUAGAAGCUCACUCUUGCUGUCUUAAGAUAAAAACUGUCCUCACGUGAGAAGUCAACACAUGUCUACCAAAUCCUAACAGCCUCUCCCCUCAACCUCUCCCCUUCUCAACAAGUUUUUCCUAAAUUUUAUACGGAAAUUCAAAGGACCUAGAAAAGCCACCUUUAAAAAUACUAAUUGGUUCAUUAGUUUGUUUAUUUAGGGACAGAGUCUCUCACAUCCUAGGCUGGCCUCAAACUUGAUAUGUAGCCAGGCUAUGUGAUGAAACCCUGCCUCAAAACACCGAAAAAUAAAAUAAAAUAAU